AGGGGCUGCCUGGACAAGGCUGCGUGAGGUAGACCAUGCGGGCACACUCCUUCUCGAGCCGAAGCUCGCUCGCGCUGCGUGCGCGUGAGGAGCGGCGGUCUUGCUGUGAAGGCACAGAGAGUCUCCACGGUGCGGGAUCGGUUGCCCGUUCAGAGUUGUUAAAAAGAAAAAUGUAGCCACACUGCAUUCAUUACUCACCCCACCCCACCCCCCGCUCCCGGGUUCUGGUUGUGGCCCGCGGGGAGGGACGUGGGGGUGCACUCGUUCUCGGGGGCACGUAGCCAAAGCUGCGUUUCGGCCCCGAGGCCGGGGUGCUGGAACGGCUGUGAUCUGCGGGCCUGCGAAUUCCUCGGGCGUAAGAUAAGGAGCAGCAAGAGCCGGCUGAACUGAAGUCAGCGGACUAUAAAUACGACUCGCAAUCCACCUUUGGCUCAGCCGAGUGACCUCGCAUACCCUCCGGAGUCCCAUUCCCUCCUUUUAGAAAAUGCAAAUAGCUGUCACUACCUCUUUUCUUCCUUUUCCUUUAAUUCUCUCAUUCUUCGUGCAAAAUGCCGUUAGAAGUAUUCAGUGACCUGUUUAUGAAGAAAGAAAAGAUAACCCCUUUAAACCAGAUAAAUACGUAACUUCUUCGAACUCUUGGGCUGUCUCGGUUUUGAGUCAAUUGCAGCAGUCUCACUGUAAUGAAGUGGUAGAGAUCAAACCUAAGGCCUUUUAUGUAUCUAUAUCACUCACUGGACAACAUUCCCUGCAAAACCACUCCCAACUUAAAGAGGCUCAAGGAAGACCGUCGGGAUGGCUCACGGGUAAAGUAUUUGUCAUCAAGUCUG
RNAcentral lists this long non-coding RNA (827 nucleotides) under Cricetulus griseus (Chinese hamster). Its description in RNAcentral is "lncRNA (ENSCGRG00015034181.1)". Lineage: Eukaryota; Metazoa; Chordata; Mammalia; Rodentia; Cricetidae. The record is from RNAcentral.